RNAcentral lists this transfer RNA (76 nucleotides) under Candidatus Woesebacteria bacterium. Its description in RNAcentral is "tRNA-Glu". It matches the Rfam family "tRNA". Rfam says of the family: Transfer RNA (tRNA) molecules are approximately 80 nucleotides in length. Their secondary structure includes four short double-helical elements and three loops (D, anti-codon, and T loops). Further hydrogen bonds mediate the characteristic L-shaped molecular structure. tRNAs have two regions of fundamental functional importance: the anti-codon, which is responsible for specific mRNA codon recognition, and the 3' end, to which the tRNAs corresponding amino acid is attached (by aminoacyl-tRNA synthetases). tRNAs cope with the degeneracy of the genetic code in two manners: having more than one tRNA (with a specific anti-codon) for a particular amino acid; and 'wobble' base-pairing, i.e. permitting non-standard base-pairing at the 3rd anti-codon position. Lineage: Bacteria; Candidatus Woeseibacteriota. The record is from RNAcentral.
GGCCCCAUCGUCUAGUGGUCUAGGACACCAGGUUCUCAUCCUGGAAACCGGGGUUCGAGUCCCCGUGGGGUCACCC